GACGAACGCUGGCGGCGUGCUUAACACAUGCAAGUCGAACGGAAAGGCCCUGCUUUUGUGGGGUGCUCGAGUGGCGAACGGGUGAGUAACACGUGAGUAACCUGCCCUUGACUUUGGGAUAACUUCAGGAAACUGGGGCUAAUACCGGAUAGGAGCUCCUGCUGCAUGGUGGGGGUUGGAAAGUUUCGGCGGUUGGGGAUGGACUCGCGGCUUAUCAGCUUGUUGGUGGGGUAGUGGCUUACCAAGGCUUUGACGGGUAGCCGGCCUGCGAGGGUGACCGGCCACAUUGGGACUGAGAUACGGCCCAGACUCCUACGGGAGGCAGCGGUGGGGAAUAUUGCACAAUGGGCGGAAGCCUGAUGCAGCAACGCCGCGUGCGGGAUGACGGCCUUCGGGUUGUAAACCGCUUUCGCCUGUGACGAAGCGUGAGUGACGGUAAUGGGUAAAGAAGCACCGGCUAACUACGUG
RNAcentral lists this ribosomal RNA (468 nucleotides) under uncultured bacterium. RNAcentral describes it as "partial 16S ribosomal RNA". It matches the Rfam family "Bacterial small subunit ribosomal RNA", at positions 28 to 507 of the family's 1533-position model. The record is from RNAcentral.